CCCAUUUUUGUCAGUAAUAUACAUUACAAACCCUAUUUGAAUCGGAUGAGUGCCUGGACACUGAGGUGAUUGCAUGACAAUCUACUGGAAUUGUUGACUAAAAGUUAUUUGCACUCAAUACCGUGCUGGGAAGAACAACAAAUACUUGUUUGGUCUAUUUAAAUAACUUGUAAACAUCAGCAUAGAUACAUGUUAAACAUAGGGGCGGUAUAUAAAAAAAUCUAUUAUGAAGAGGUUGGCUUUAUUUAGUUGAUCAUCGGAACUGAACGAAAGUUCGGACCACAGCGUAUAGUCCUUUUUACGAUCUUUUACCAAAGAGAGAGGGCGAGCGAGCGAGCUAUAAAAAAUGGCAAAACGAUUUUAAAAUAAAAAAAUAGUUAAAUUUGUACACCACCGAGGUAAAUCGCAUUAAAAUAAAAAAAAUAAAAAAACAUUUUGUGCAAAGUUGGCUAUAUAAUGCACAAACCGGAUAGACAUUUGUCACCCAAUGAAAAAAAUAUACCAUACAUAAACAAUCGAGCCCCAACACCUCAACAGCA
RNAcentral lists this long non-coding RNA (539 nucleotides) under Mytilus galloprovincialis (Mediterranean mussel). The record is from RNAcentral. Lineage: Eukaryota; Metazoa; Mollusca; Bivalvia; Mytilida; Mytilidae.